Molecule: ribosomal RNA, 2858 nt
Filed under: uncultured eukaryote
Lineage: Eukaryota
Description: Bacterial large subunit ribosomal RNA
Rfam family: Bacterial large subunit ribosomal RNA
Source: RNAcentral
UAAGAAAUUAAGAGCUUGUAAGGGAUCCCUUGGUAUCCAGAAGCGAUGAAGGACGUGGCUACCAGCGAAAUGCUUCGGGGAGUUGGAAGUAAGCUUUGAUCCGGAGGUCUCCGAAUGAGGAAACUCUACAUCUUUUUACUGAAUUUAUAAGUAAAAAAGAGCAAACUCAGGGAAUUGAAACAUCUUAGUACCUGAAGGAAAAGAAAGUAAAAACGAUUCCCUUAGUAGUGGCGAACGAAACGGGAACAGCCUAAACCAUCAUAAUCUUUUAGAUAUGACGGGGUUGUGGGGUAAACAUAAGAAAGUUAAUAAAACUUUUCAAAAAAAUUAGGUGAAUUAGUUGGAAAACUAUACCGUAGAAAGUGAUAGUCUUGUAACCGAAAAUUUUUUCAUUUUAUUUAUACCCGAGUAGCAUGGGGCACGUGGAAUCCCGUGUGAAUCUGCGAGGACCACCUCGUAAGGCUAAAUAUUCCUGGAUGUCCGAUAGUGAAAUAGUACCGCGAGGGAAAGGUGAAAAGAACCCCGGGAGGGGAGUGAAAUAGAACGUGAAAUUGCAAGCUUACAAACAGAAGGAGAACGACUUAGCGUUUGACUUCGUGCCUGUUGAAGAAUGUUCCGGCGACUUACAGUUAGUGGCAGGUUAAGAUAGAGAUAUCGGAGCCAGAGUGAAAGCGAGCUUGAAUAGAGCGUUCGUCACUAGUUGUAGACCCGAACCCGCUUGAUCUAACCAUGGCCAGGAUGAAACUUAGGUAAUACUAAGUGGAGGUCCGAACCGACUAAUGUUGAAAAAUUAGCGGAUGAGUUGUGGUUAGGGGUGAAAUGCCAAUCGAAAGCGGAGCUAGCUGGUUCUCCCCGAAAUGUAUUUAGGUGCAGCGGUUGAUGUUUUAGCGUAGGGGUAAAGCACUGUUUCGGUGCGGGCUGGUAAUUCGGUACCAAAUCGAGGCAAACUCUGAAUACUACGUGUAUAGUCAACCAGUAAGACUACGAGGGAUAAGCUUCAUAGUCAAGAGGGAAACAGCCCAGAUCACCAGCUAAGGCCCCCAAGUAAUUACUAAGUGGUAAAGGUAGUGGAAAGGCUUAGACAACCAGGAGGUUUGCUUAGAAGCAGCAAUCCUUUAAAAAGUGCGUAAUAGCUUACUGGUCUAGCAGUUCUGCGCCGAAAAUUUAUGGGACUAAGUAAUUCGCCGAAGCUGUGAGAUAUACAAUUUGUAUAUCGGUAGGGGAGCGUUCCAUGGUAGGCUGAAGUGUUAGCGAAAGCGGAUAUGGACGAAAUGGAAGUGAGAAUGUCGGAUUGAGUAACGAAAACAUUGGUGAGAAUCCAAUGCUCCGAAACCCUAAGGUUUCCUCCGCAAGGUUCGUCCACGGAGGGUUAGUCAGGUCCUAAGGUGAGGCUGAGAAGCGUAAUUGAUGGAAAAUAGGUUAAUAUUCCUAUACUGAUCAUUGUUGGUAUCGAGGGACGAAGGAGGCUAGGUUAGCCGGAUAUUGGUUACCGGUUCAAGUAGACGAGGUGUUGAGAAGUAGAGAAAAUACUUUGAGCUAAGCUAUGAGUACAAGAUUCAAAGAAAUCAAAGUAAUUGACGUCAUACUUCCAAGAAAAGCUCGCAAUGCCUUAAACAAUGAUUACCUGUACCUUAAACCGACACAGGUAGGGAGGUAGAGAAUACCAAGGAGCGCGGGAGAACCCUCCUUAAGGAACUCGGCAAAAUAGCUCUGUAACUUCGGAAGAAAGAGUGCCCAUUGGGCUGCAAUAUCAAGUUCCAAGCAACUGUUUAGCAAAAACACAGGUCUCCGCUAAGUUGUAAAACGACGUAUGGGGGCUGACGCCUGCCCAGUGCCGGAAGGUUAAAGAAGUUGGUUAGCGUAUGCGAAGCUAAUAACUGAAGCCCCGGUGAACGGCGGCCGUAACAAUAACGGUCCUAAGGUAGCGAAAUUCCUUGUCGGGUAAGUUCCGACCUGCACGAAUGGUGCAACGAUCUGGACACUGUCUCGGCCAUGAGCUCGGUGAAAUUGUAGUAUCGGUGAAGAUGCCGGUUACCCGCAGUGGGACGAAAAGACCCCGUGCACCUUUACUAUAGCUUCGUAUUGACCUUGGUCAAGCAAUGUGUAGGAUAGCUGGGAGACUUUGAAGCUGCAUCGCUAGGUGUGGUGGAGUCAUUGUUGAAAUACCAGCCUUUGCUUGUCCGGGGCCUAACUCUCGAUGAGAGAACAGUGCGUGGUGGGUAGUUUGACUGGGGUGGUCGCCUCCAAAAGAGUAACGGAGGCUUCUAAAGGUGCCCUCAAUACGGUUGGCAAUCGUGUGUAGAGUGCAAUGGCACAAGGGCGCUUGACUGAGAGACAUACAGGUCGAUCAGGUUGGAAACAAGAGCAUAGUGAUCCGGUGGUUCCGCAUGGAAGGGCCAUCGCUCAAAGGAUAAAAGGUACGCCGGGGAUAACAGGCUGAUGGUUUCUGAGAGUUCAUAUCGACGAGACCGUUUGGCACCUCGAUGUCGGCUUAUCACAUCCUGGAGCUGAAGAAGGUUCCAAGGGUUCGGCUGUUCGCCGAUUAAAGUGGUACAUGAGCUGGGUUCAGAACGUCGUGAGACAGUUCGGUCUCUAUCUACUGCGGGCGUUAGAAAUUUGAGUGGAUCUGACUCUAGUACGAGAGGACCGAGUUGGACUGACCGCUGGUGCACCAGUUGUUCCGCCAGGAGCAUCGCUGGGUAGCUAUGUCGGGAUUGGAUAAGCGCUGAAAGCAUAUAAGCGCGAAACCAGCCACAAGAUGAGAUUUCUUUAAAGGGCCGUGGGAGAUGACCACGUUGAUAGGCUAUAGGUAGAAGGGCAGUAAUGUCCGUAGCCGAGUAGUACUAAUUGCCCGUCAG